UGACACUCAGCGGAUUGCGGCCGGCGGUACACUCAGCGGGCCGAUGCGGUUAACCCGGUGCGAAUCCGGGGCGGUCGCGCCACUGUGAGCGGUCCGCCGACGACGCCGUCGGACUGCGAGCCAGACAGUCGCAUCGGUGUGAACAAU
This 147-nucleotide non-coding RNA is filed under the name Gordonia sihwensis. Lineage: Bacteria; Bacillati; Actinomycetota; Actinomycetes; Mycobacteriales; Gordoniaceae. The record is from RNAcentral.